RNA transcript from Myotis brandtii (Brandt's bat), 485 nucleotides. It is a transcript of the gene named type III endosome membrane protein TEMP, with no coding region annotated. The record is from RefSeq and is a predicted model, not a curated record. The transcript has a single exon. NCBI's taxonomy places the organism in Eukaryota, Metazoa, Chordata, Mammalia, Chiroptera, Vespertilionidae.
CACAGUUCCUACAGGAUCUGGGCCCCAGGGCUGCCUAUCACCUAGGAUCUGCUUGGAGCCAGGGCUCUUCUGGCCAAGCCAAGGCUCACAGUGUCUUCCAGCUACUCCAUGAGUGACACAAACCAAACCAUUGUGGGACCCUCGGAGCUCCCCACGGUACCAGCCAUGACCCCUGGGCCAGGCUCUGGGGCCCGGGCAUGGCCUGUGCUGGUGGGGGUUGUGCUGGGAGCUGUGGUCCUCUCUCUCCUCAUUGCACUUGCUGCCAAAUGCCACCUCUGCUGCAAAUACCGCCUCAGCUAUCAGCAUCGCCCACUGCCCGGGACAAGGAAGGGGAUCUGUCCGGAGGCCGGUGAAGAUGAGGAUGAUGAUGGUUUCAUUGAGGACAAUUACAUUCAGCCUGGGGCCAGCGAGCUGGGGACAGAAGGUAGCAGGCACCAUUUCUCCCUCUGAGCCACGACCUUUGCACACCCUUUGCCUGACAGCUU